This 67-nucleotide transfer RNA is filed under the name Sayornis phoebe (Eastern phoebe). RNAcentral's name for it is "tRNA-Cys". The record is from RNAcentral. Lineage: Eukaryota; Metazoa; Chordata; Aves; Passeriformes; Tyrannidae.
GGCUCUGUGGUGAAUUUCAUGUUGAGUUGCAAACUCAAAGAUGUGUAUUAGAUGUACACCAGGGUCU